AUGACAAAUGUAGAGGUUGAAUCGGAUUGUCAGGUUCUGGUAAAGGCGCUACGAGGUACUGAAUCGGACCGUGCACCUGAAGGUUUGCUAUUUAAGGAGAUUCGUCAGUUUGCCUAUCUAAAUUUUACUAGUAUUUCUUUCGUUUUUGCCCCACGGGCAUGUAAUAAUCUUGCGCACGCUCUAGCGGCCUACGGUGCUAGUCAUUAGCCUGUCUCGCAUGUGUCGUCUGAGGACCUACCUGACGAUGUAAAUGUUCGACGGGCCUGCAAAUUAGCUGAGCCAGUUUAA
Molecule: ribosomal RNA, 288 nt
Filed under: Triticum aestivum (bread wheat)
Lineage: Eukaryota; Viridiplantae; Streptophyta; Magnoliopsida; Poales; Poaceae
Description: partial small subunit ribosomal RNA
Source: RNAcentral